RNAcentral lists this ribosomal RNA (483 nucleotides) under uncultured bacterium. RNAcentral describes it as "partial 16S ribosomal RNA". It matches the Rfam family "Bacterial small subunit ribosomal RNA", at positions 28 to 507 of the family's 1533-position model. The record is from RNAcentral.
GACGAACGCUGGCGGCGUGCUUAACACAUGCAAGUCGAACGCUGAAGCUCAGCUUUUGUUGGGUGGAUGAGUGGCGAACGGGUGAGUAACACGUGAGUAACCUGCCCCCUUCUUUGGGAUAACGCCCGGAAACGGGUGCUAAUACUGGAUAUUCACUGGUCUUCGCAUGGGGGUUGGUGGAAAGGGUUUUUCUGGUGGGGGAUGGGCUCGCGGCCUAUCAGCUUGUUGGUGGGGUGAUGGCCUACCAAGGCUUUGACGGGUAGCCGGCCUGAGAGGGUGACCGGUCACAUUGGGACUGAGAUACGGCCCAGACUCCGACGGGAGGCAGCAGUGGGGAAUAUUGCACAAUGGGCGCAAGCCUGAUGCAGCGACGCCGCGUGAGGGAUGGAGGCCUUCGGGUUGUGAACCUCUUUCGCUCAUGGUCAAGCCGCAACAAUGGUUGUGGUGAGGGUAGUGGGUAAAGAAGCGCCGGCUAACUACGUG